GAUGAACGCUGGCGGCGUGCCUAAUACAUGCAAGUCGAGCGAACAGAUAAGGAGCUUGCUCCUUUGACGUUAGCGGCGGACGGGUGAGUAACACGUGGGUAACCUAACUAUAAGACUGGGAUAACUUCGGGAAACCGGAGCUAAUACCGGAUAACAUUUGGAACCGCAUGGUUCUAAAGUGAAAGAUGGUUUUGCUAUCACUUAUAGAUGGACCCGCGCCGUAUUAGCUAGUUGGUAAGGUAACGGCUUACCAAGGCGACGAUACGUAGCCGACCUGAGAGGGUGAUCGGCCACACUGUAACUGAGACACGGUCCAGACUCCUACGGGAGGCAGCAGUAGGGAAUCUUCCGCAAUGGGCGAAAGCCUGACGGAGCAACGCCGCGUGAGUGAUGAAGGGUUUCGGCUCGUAAAACUCUGUUAUUAGGGAAGAACAAAUGUGUAAGUAACUGUGCACGUCUUGACGGUACCUAAUCAGAAAGCCACGGCUAACUACGUG
This 497-nucleotide ribosomal RNA is filed under the name uncultured bacterium. RNAcentral describes it as "partial 16S ribosomal RNA". It matches the Rfam family "Bacterial small subunit ribosomal RNA", at positions 28 to 507 of the family's 1533-position model. The record is from RNAcentral.